Coprobacillus sp. CAG:235 is the source of this 92-nucleotide non-coding RNA. Lineage: Bacteria; Bacillati; Bacillota; Erysipelotrichia; Erysipelotrichales; Coprobacillaceae. The record is from Rfam.
GGACGAACCAUUGGAGAGAUUCAUUAAAUUGAACACCGAAGGAGCAAACCCAAAAGGGUGAAACUCUCAGGUAAAAGGACAGUGGCUAAAUA